Molecule: ribosomal RNA, 198 nt
Filed under: uncultured bacterium
Lineage: Bacteria
Description: partial 16S ribosomal RNA
Rfam family: Bacterial small subunit ribosomal RNA
Source: RNAcentral
GGCUGCAACUCGCCUACACGAAGUCGGAAUCGCUAGUAAUCGCGGAUCAGCAUGCCGCGGUGAAUACGUUCCCGGGCCUUGUACACACCGCCCGUCACACCAUGGGAGAUGGAUAUGCCCGAAGUCAGUGACCUAACCGAAAGGGAGGAGCUGCCGAAGGUGGAGCCAUUAACUGGGGUGAAGUCGUAACAAGGUAAC